AUGGGUAGGCGGAGCAAAUGGUGGGCGGCGGCGCUCGUCAGGUGCUGCGCGCUUGUCAUGCUGUGCGUGGGCAGCGCCGUCGUCGCCGCCGUGGACGAGCAGGGUGCGGCCCUGCUCGCGUGGAAGGCGACGCUGCGUAACGGGGUUGGCGCGCUGGCGGACUGGAAGGCCGCGGACGCGUCGCCCUGCCGGUGGACCGGCGUGGCGUGCAAUGCCGACGGCGGCGUCACCGAGCUGCGCCUGGAGUUUGUCGACCUCCUCGGCGGCGUCCCGGCCAACCUGGCCGCCGCCGUCGGAGGCACGCUGACCCGGCUCGUCCUCACCGGCACGAACCUAACGGGCCCGAUCCCGCCGGAGCUCGGCGCGCUGCCCGCGCUGGCGCACCUCGACCUCAGCAACAAUGCGCUCACGGGGUCCAUACCGGCCGGGCUUUGCCGGACGGGGAGCAAGCUCGAGACGCUCUACCUCAACUCCAACCGGCUGGAGGGCGCCAUCCCGGACGCCAUCGGCAACCUCACGUCGCUCCGGGAGCUCAUCAUCUACGACAACCAGCUAGGCGGCAGGAUUCCGGCGGCCAUCGGCCGCAUGGCCAGCCUCGAGGUGCUCCGCGGCGGCGGCAACAAGAACCUCCACGGCGCGCUCCCCACGGAGAUCGGCAGCUGCUCGAGGCUCACCAUGGUCGGCCUCGCCGAGACCAGCAUCACCGGCCCGCUCCCUGCGAGCCUCGGCCGCCUCAAGAACCUCACCACGCUGGCCAUCUACACGGCGCUGCUCUCUGGCCCGAUACCCAAAGAGCUCGGCCGGUGCAGCAGCCUGGAGAACAUCUACCUCUACGAGAACGCGCUAUCCGGGUCCAUCCCGGCGGAGCUCGGCGCGCUCAAGAAGCUCAAGAACCUGCUGCUGUGGCAGAACCAGCUCGUCGGCAUCAUCCCGCCGGAGCUCGGCUCGUGCAGCGAGCUCGCGGUGAUCGACCUGUCGAUCAACGGGCUCACCGGCCACAUCCCGGCGUCGCUCGGGAAACUCUUGUCGCUGCAGGAGCUGCAGCUCAGCGGGAACAAGAUCUCUGGCACUGUGCCGCCGGAGCUCGCCCGGUGCAGCAACCUCACCGACCUCGAGCUCGACAACAACCAGAUCACGGGCGCCAUCCCUGCCGAGCUUGGCGGCCUCCCGGCGUUGCGCAUGCUUUACCUGUGGGCCAACCAGCUGACCGGAAACAUCCCGCCGGAGCUCGGCCGGUGCACUAGCCUCGAGGCGCUGGACCUGUCGACCAAUGCUCUGUCCGGGCCGAUCCCACCGUCGCUCUUCCAGCUUCCACGGCUGUCCAAGCUGCUCCUCAUCAACAACGAACUCUCCGGCCAGUUGCCAGCGGAGAUUGGCAAUUGCACGUCCCUCGACCGCUUCCGGGCAAGCGGCAACCACAUCGCCGGCGCGAUACCACCGGAAAUCGGCAUGCUUGGGAACCUCAGCUUCCUGGACCUGGGCUCCAACCGGCUGUCCGGUGCCCUCCCCACGGAGUUGUCCGGAUGCCGGAACCUCACGUUCGUCGACCUCCACGACAAUGCCAUCUCCGGCGUGCUGCCGGCAGGGCUCUUCAAGGAAUUGCUCUCGCUCCAGUACCUAGACCUCUCCUACAAUGCCAUCUCCGGCGCGCUCCCGUCCGACAUCGGCCUGCUCAAUUCGUUGACAAAGCUCAUUCUCAGCGGCAACCGGCUGUCCGGAGCGAUGCCACCAGAGAUCGGCUCGUGCUCCCGUCUCCAGCUCCUCGACGUCGGCGGCAACUCGCUGUCCGGUCACAUUCCGGGGAGCAUCGGCAAGAUUCCGGGACUGGAGAUCGCCCUUAAUCUCAGCUGCAACCGCUUCUCCGGCUCGAUGCCAUCGGAGUUCGCAGGGCUCGUGAGGCUUGGGGUGCUCGACGUGUCACACAACCAGCUCUCCGGCGAUCUCCAGGCGCUGUCCGCGCUCCAGAACCUCGUGGCGCUCAACGUCUCCUUCAACGGCUUCUCCGGCCGGCUUCCAGAGACGGCGUUCUUCGCGAAGCUCCCAACCAGCGACGUCGAGGGCAACCAGGCACUGUGCCUCUCGCGGUGCUCUGGCGACGCAGGCGACCGUGAGCUCGAGGCACGCCGCGCCGCUCGUGUCGCGAUGGCCGUCCUGCUCACCGCCCUCGUCGUCCUCCUGGUGGCAGCGGUGCUCGUCCUGUUCGGUUGGCGCCGGCGCGGCGAGCGUGCCAGCGAGGACAAGGGCGCCGAGAUGUCGCCGCCGUGGGACGUCACGCUGUACCAGAAGCUGGACAUCGGCGUCGCCGACGUGGCCCGCAGCCUCACUCCGGCGAACGUGAUCGGCCACGGGUGGUCGGGCGCGGUGUACCGUGCCAACAUCCCGUCGUCCGGCGUCACGGUCGCCGUGAAGAAAUUCCAGUCAUGCGACGAGGCGUCCGUGGAGGCGUUCGCGUGCGAGAUCAGCGUGCUGCCCCGGGUGCGCCACCGCAACAUCGUCCGUCUGCUUGGAUGGGCGUCCAACCGCCGGACGCGCCUCCUCUUCUACGACUACCUCCCGAACGGCACUCUAGGAGGUCUGCUCCACGGCGGCGCGACCGGUGCGGCCGUCGUGGAGUGGGAAGUGCGGCUCGCGAUCGCCGUGGGCGUGGCCGAGGGCCUCGCUUACCUCCACCACGACUGCGUGCCGGGGAUCAUCCACCGUGACGUCAAGGCCGACAACAUCCUCCUCGGCGACCGCUACGAGGCUUGCCUCGCCGACUUCGGCCUGGCACGAGUCGCCGAUGACGGCGCCAACUCGUCGCCUCCGCCGUUCGCCGGAUCCUACGGCUACAUCGCUCCCGAGUACGGUUGCAUGACCAAGAUCACAACCAAGAGCGACGUGUACAGCUUUGGUGUGGUGCUGCUGGAGAUGAUCACGGGGCGGCGCACGCUGGACCCGGCGUUCGGCGAGGGGCAGAGCGUGGUGCAGUGGGUGCGCGACCACCUGUGCCGGAAGCGCGACCCGGCGGAGAUCGUGGACGCGAGGCUGCAAGGCCGGCCGGACACGCAGGUCCAGGAAAUGCUGCAAGCCCUCGGCAUCGCGCUGCUGUGCGCCAGCCCGCGCCCGGAGGACCGGCCGACCAUCAAGGACGUGGCGGCGCUGCUACGCGGCAUCCGGCACGACGACGGCCCCGACGCGCGGAAGGCCGGGAACGCAGAGCGGGCCGAUGCGAAGCCCAUCUCACCCACCAAACUUAUGGCUCUCACCAGACCGGUCCAAACGCAGGCCCAGGUCCAGGCCCGAGCGAGUUCAGGUUCCCUGGGCCUACUCAACAACCGGGACGGAUAG
Molecule: ribosomal RNA, 3327 nt
Filed under: Triticum aestivum (bread wheat)
Lineage: Eukaryota; Viridiplantae; Streptophyta; Magnoliopsida; Poales; Poaceae
Description: partial small subunit ribosomal RNA
Source: RNAcentral